Molecule: RNA transcript, 5444 nt
Organism: Prionailurus viverrinus (fishing cat)
Lineage: Eukaryota; Metazoa; Chordata; Mammalia; Carnivora; Felidae
Gene name: retinitis pigmentosa 9 protein-like
Exons: 10
Source: RefSeq, a predicted model, not a curated record
GCCGUCUUCGCUGCCUCGGCCGCCUCAGGCGCCUCAGGCGCGCCGCGGGUCGCCUCAGCCGCGCGGGCCGCGAUGUCUUCCCGGCCCGGGCGUGACGACGCGCGAGCCGGAGGCGCGCGGCGGCCGCGGGAGUCGGCCGAGCAGGAGCUGCAGCGGCGCCGAGAGCAGAAGCGGCGGCGGCACGACGCACAGCAGCUGCAGCAGCUCAAGCACCUGGAGUCCUUUUAUGAAAAACCUCCUCCGGGGCUUAUCAAGGAAGAUGAGACUAAGCCGGAAGACUGUAUACCAGAUGUACCAGGCAACGAACAUGCCAGGGAAUUUCUGGCUCACGCACCAACUAAAGGACUUUGGAUGCCACUCGGGAAAGAAGUCAAAGUUAUGCAGUGCUGGCGUUGUAAGCGGUAUGGUCACCGAACAGGCGACAAAGAAUGCCCUUUUUUUAUCAAAGGCAACCAAAAAUUAGAACAGUUCAGAGUAGCACAUGAAGAUCCCAUGUAUGACAUCAUACGAGAGAAUAAAAGACGUGAAAAGGAUGUAAGGAUACAGCAGUUAAAACAGUUACUGGAGGAUUCCACUUCCGAUGAAGAUGGCAGCAGCUCCAGCUCCUCAGAAUGUAAAGAGAAACACAAGAAAAAGAGGAAGAAAGAAAAGCAUAAGAAAAGGAAAAAAGAAAAGAAGAAGAAGAAAAAACAAAAGCAUAAGUCUUCCAAGUCGAAUGAGAGUUCAGACUCAGACUGACAAGGACUUGACUUAUUCCAUGUUCUCCUCUCAAAAAUCAGACACUGUGGCCCCAGACCAGAGGGUGUGGAAUUGGGGAGGACUUGGAGACCCCAAGAGAGCAGGGCAUUCGGUGUCACGUGUGUGAAUUCUCACCUGCCUUCCAGCAAAGACGUGACCCCCGGAGGACCGCUGAGCCCAUAAAGCUCAUCAAUCAAAAGUUCUUCAUCCUGAAAUCUCUCCCUUCAGACUCAGUACUCUCCAGUCCUAUUUAGAAAAUCAAGAGAAGUCACCAGAACUCCUUCUACCAAGGGCUGUGAUAGGAUGGAAAAAAUGGAUUCCUACACACUGAUGAGAAAUGACAGCAGAGGCAAAUGAGACUUUAAGAAGACUAAAGGAGAAAGAUCCCACAGGAAGAGGAGAGAAGAGGAACCACUGUGACAUACACAAGGAGAACUCCAGCCAACACUAACACCAGACCUCAGGACAAGCUAGUUGACCAGAGCCUAACUGAUCAGGGUAAUUCCAGGUCUGGGUGGAAGGGUCCUCACCUCUUCUGGCUGGCCUGGGAUCGCGGACACAGGGCUGCACGGCGUUAGGGCCCCGGGCAGCGUUGCCCACAAGCCCGGGCCGCAUCUCGCACAAACAAGUCUCGGCUUCCCCAAGCAGCAGCAGCAGCACGGAGUGAAGACUGAGGCCAGGAGAGAACUUGCCGCAGCGCCUCGAACGUGACGGGCUGUGCCCAGGAGCUCCACUCCAGGGCCAUCACUUAGGCCUGGCCUGCAGCGCCCUCGUCCUCAGCCUCUCAGGCGUGCCCACCGCGCCCCUUCCCCGGUCCAGAGGAGCCCAUCCCGGGGGACCCAGCCUCUCUUUACCCACGACUCACAUCCCACUCCCUGUCCUGCAAGUCAGUCGCCUCCACUCCCUCGGCACCCAACCCCACCACUCACCGUGUUCGGUACGCCCACCUGCUCUAAGCCAACCUCCACAACCCGGAACGUCUCUGACACCUGGGCCUUGGCUCCCACUUUCAUGGGCUCCGCGCGCUGCGCGGCCUCCCACAGAUGGCUCACGCAUGCGCCCUGGGCGAGGAUCGGAGCCUGACUGCUCCUCCCAAGGACACCUGGAGAAGCCUUGGAGCAGUUUUCGGCACCAUACUCGCUCUGGCGCCUGGACGCCCUGGUGUUGGCGCUUCCAGAGGACGGGUCGGUUCCCUGUCCCACUCGCUCUCCCGGACUGUCCCUUCCAUUUGAGUGUGUUCGGUGAAGACAGCUUGUCUCCCCUGCUCUGAGCCCCUGGUCUCCUUCCUUCUUGGGCCUAACACCGCUGACACGAAGGAAGAGGAGCUGACGGAGGAGAAGGAGAGAGGAAGGAGGAGGCUAGCCUGAACCGUGUGGACCUGAAAGUAGGCGAUUCAUAAGGGAGGGGCGCUCCAGCCCCUACCGCUGCGGAGAGUAAAAGCAGGGGUGCAGAGGCUCUGGCAGUUAGGGCGCCCUGGGUUGGGAGAGUGAGGAACAGAGGGCCUGGGGAAGUCGUCUGUGGGCUGGUACAUGGGCAGUUGGAGAGAGAAGCUGGCACACACGGACUCCGCUUUUUUUGCAUGGGAGAGAAAGGAAAGGCCUAGGAUCGUAGUUAAUGGGAGUCGUGGGGUUGCAAGGAUUAUUGUGAGUUUUUUGUUUUGUUUUUAAAGCGAGAGAUUUAGGUAUCUGUGAGGCCAGAAUGGAGAGACAGGGAGAUGUUACCUAUAGUGGAGAGAGAAGGGGUGUUAGGAGGAUGUUCUGAGGAAGCACAAGGUGAGGUUAGCUAAGCCUGGUUACAAUGCUUUCCCUUGAACAGAAGAAAGUUACUGAGAUAGGUGGGAAAUGAAGUCUUUGAAGGCAGGAGUUUUAGUGCUUUAGCAUGUGAUGACCUUGAUAUUUUUCUUUUUCUAAAGUUUAUUUAUUUUGAGAGAGAGAAACUGUGUGUGUAUGAGGGAGCAGGAGAGGAGAGAGGGAGAGAGAGAAUCCCAACCAGGCUCCUUGCUGUCAGCACAGAGCCUGACCUGGGGCUCAGUCUCACAAAACUGUGAGAUCAUGACCUGAGCUGAAACCAAGAGUCUGGCACUUAAUUGACUGAGCUACCCAUGCGCCCUACUCUUGAUAUUUUUCAAUGGAAGGCAGAAUAAAGACUUUAAGGGAACAUUGAAAAUUUGGGAUGACUGUCUGCAUUACCAGGUAAAGUUGUGUUUGAGCAGAAAUACUGGUGCCUGAAACUGGAUAAAGUUUUUUUUUUCACAUAGAGAUGGAGAUAUUCCAGGGCAGGUCUGGAAACUCCUUGCUGUCACAAAGAACCCAGUCUCCUUUCGUUUUGUUCUGCCAUCCUUACAAUGGCUUCCAUCUUCAAAAUGCCACAUGUUCCAAGAUGCUUGUUCCAGGCAGAAAGCAGGGGGUUGAGAAGGGAAAGGGUAAAAAAGAGCACAACAGGUACACAGCAGCUUCUGUCAUCAGUAUUGCUUUUAAGGAGCUUUACUAGAUGACCUACCCAACUUCAGCUUAUACCACAAUGGCUUCCCAUGGCUGAAAUGAAGUUGUCUUUUAGCUAGGCGUAUUGCCACUUGCAAUAAAUUGAGAUGCUAUGACUAAGGAAGAGAAUGGGUAUUAAUUGAGCUGACAACGAACAAUGUCUGCCAUACUGCUGCAGGGAAGGGAAAAAACAGUCUUCUACAAACAUGCAAAAGGAUUGCUGGUAGAGUUGAGGGCUGACCUGGAAUGAGGAUCAGUACUUUGUAUUUUCCCUCAUCUGUAGUGGUGUAUCACUUGCUCAGUCAUAUUCAGCUGCUUGGGAGAGACCUUGAAUGAUUGCAUGAAUCCAAACCAAGGACUGUGGUUUUACAGAGCUUGUGAACAGAAGAGCAAGGGUUCAAGAAAGUUCAGUGUCAUCGUGAGAAAUUAAUACAUCAUGACACAUAAUGUAUACCCUGUACUUACAUGACCGUGAACAUGAGUGCCUCCUUAAAGUUUUACCCUAGGUGCCUCACCCCACCCUACUUAGUGGCCUAGUAUAUAGUCAGGAAGAGAAAGGAAGUAAUGUCAGAGGGGAGCUGAUCAAAUGGAGAAAAAAUUAAUGGAAAUAUUUUACAUGACAGGGAGUUGUAGUCAGAGAAUGGACAGUUUAAAUUUAGGAUUUCAGAGUUGGAACUGUUGCUAAUUAUAACAAGGUCCAUCGGGUGGUCAAGUAGUGCUUUGCUCAGAUGCUGUGUGGUGAGAGUCAUUGGCACUGAGGAAGGAAAAGAUCUUGGAAGCUGGAGUUUUGGAUGACUCACCCCCUCCUUCAUAUCGUGGUCAUGUAGAUAGAGGUUUCCUAUGUUCUCAAUGAAUGUGGCACAGUGACCCACAAGGUGAAAGACAGAAGUAUCAGAAGAUGUUUGUAUUUAUAAUUUUAUAAUAUUUUUCUUGAAGAUAACCCCCCAAAAUUUAUAAUAGUCAGUCCCCAGAAAACUGGGAUUUUCCACAAGCUAGUGGCCAUAUCUCAGUGCUGGGGUGCAUGAACAGUGAAAGAAAGAAGAACCUCCUUAUGAGGGCAGCUCAGAACAGGAGUGUCCUUGGGAGGAAACAAAGUUCAGCAACUAUUCAGAAAUAGGUUGAGGGAUAUAGUGGGUUGUGUUCAGCCAAACAGGGCUUCCAAGUUACAUAAUCGAGAGGGUUCGUAGGUAGAUCAGCAGGGAGCAGGAUUGGAAUGAGAGUGUUCCAGAAAUGCCAGCUAAUUGGAAGCUUUGGAUUUGAGGCUGUGCUGGAAGAUGUCACAGAUGAAACUACCCAGUUUUGUACUACUUGGUCUGUAGUGGUACUAUCUGGCUCAUAGAUUCCACUAGACCUCUAAUAUAAAAAUGUUUUUGUGCCAACUGAGGCAUUUUGUGUGGGGUGGGGUGUCUGGGGUUAGGUGGUGGUUGCUAUUUUUAUGUUAAGGUCCAGUUAGUGAACUCUGUGUUCUCUGCUCAGGAUUCCAAAUGGGUAUUAUUAUCAUUGUCUCUAUUUUAAGAUGACGACACCUGAGAUUCAGGGAGGUUAAGUAAUCUAACCAUAUAUAUGAAGUUUCAAUCCUAAAUUGGAAGGAGAUUGGGCUAAGGUCUUUGGAUUCCCAGGCCCAGUGCCUUUUCUAUUCCUUGGGUGGUCCCUGUUACUCUCCUUUUGACAGUUUGACAGUCUCUGUCUCAUUAAAGCAGCCUGAUUUAUACUUUCCCCUCAGUUGACACACUGGAUUUUAUAUUGAAAAUUUAAACAGCAAGUGUAAUAAUAAUAAUAGUCUUGUUUUCCAUACCUUGAGCUUCCUCUUUAACAUAUUGGUGAGCUAUAAACACAUCAUGGAUGCUCAGCCUUACUAGUGAACCUUCAUUCACUCAUUUCCUCCACAAAUAUUUGAGUACGUACAACUGUAACCCUAAGGAAACAGCAGGGAAGAAAAAAUUAUAAUUCCUAGGGAGUCUACAUUCUUUUGGGAUUUGCAGUGAGAUGCCAUUUAUAACUAUCAGAUUGGGGGGGGUGGGGAAUGUAACCAGUUUGACAACAGGAGAGUUAAGGAGGAAGAAGUGAAGUGGUAGGAGCAUGUAUAGACUGCUGCUGGUGAUACUUCAAAUCACUUUGGAGAGCAAGUUGACGAUAUCAAAAAGUUGAAAAAGGGUUGGGGCGUCUGGGUGGCUCAGUUGGUUAAGCGUCCACCUUCAGCUUGGGUCAUGAUCUCAUGGUUUGUGG